Molecule: transfer RNA, 74 nt
Filed under: Bacilli bacterium
Lineage: Bacteria; Bacillati; Bacillota; Bacilli
Description: tRNA-Gln
Rfam family: tRNA
About the family: Transfer RNA (tRNA) molecules are approximately 80 nucleotides in length. Their secondary structure includes four short double-helical elements and three loops (D, anti-codon, and T loops). Further hydrogen bonds mediate the characteristic L-shaped molecular structure. tRNAs have two regions of fundamental functional importance: the anti-codon, which is responsible for specific mRNA codon recognition, and the 3' end, to which the tRNAs corresponding amino acid is attached (by aminoacyl-tRNA synthetases). tRNAs cope with the degeneracy of the genetic code in two manners: having more than one tRNA (with a specific anti-codon) for a particular amino acid; and 'wobble' base-pairing, i.e. permitting non-standard base-pairing at the 3rd anti-codon position.
Source: RNAcentral
UGUCCUAUGGCCAAGUGGUAAGGCAAUGGGCUCUGACCCCAUCAUCGUUAGUUCGAAUCUAACUAGGACAACCA